Molecule: ribosomal RNA, 1423 nt
Filed under: uncultured organism
Description: SSU rRNA
Rfam family: Bacterial small subunit ribosomal RNA
Source: RNAcentral
GCGGCGUGGAUAAGACAUGCAAGUCGAACGGGAGAAUUGCUAGCUUGCUAAUAAUUCUCUAGUGGCGCACGGGUGAGUAACACGUGAGUAACCUGCCUCUUAGUGGGGGAUAGCCCUGGGAAACCGGGAUUAAUACCGCAUACGAUUGAAAGAUCAAAGCAGCAAUGCGCUAGGAGAUGGGCUCGCGGCCUAUUAGUUAGUUGGUGAGGUAACGGCUCACCAAGGCGAUGACGGGUAGCCGGUCUGAGAGGAUGUCCGGCCACACUGGAACUGAGACACGGUCCAGACACCUACGGGUGGCAGCAGUCGAGAAUCAUUCACAAUGGGGGCAACCCUGAUGGUGCGACGCCGCGUGGGGGAAUGAAGGUCUUCGGAUUGUAAACCCCUGUCAUGUGGGAGCAAAUUAAAAAGAUAGUACCACAAGAGGAAGAGACGGCUAACUCUGUGCCAGCAGCCGCGGUAAUACAGAGGUCUCAAGCGUUGUUCGGAAUCACUGGGCGUAAGGCGUGCGUAGGCUGUUUCGUAAGUCGUGUGUGAAAGGCAGGGGCUCAACCCCUGGAUUGCACAUGAUACUGCGAGACUAGAGUAAUGGAGGGGGAACCGGAAUUCUCGGUGUAGCAGUGAAAUGCGUAGAUAUCGAGAGGAACACUCGUGGCGAAGGCGGGUUCCUGGACAUUAACUGACGCUGAGGCACGAAGGCCAGGGGAGCGAAAGGGAUUAGAUACCCCUGUAGUCCUGGCAGUAAACGGUGCACGCUUGGUGUGCGGGGAAUCGACCCCCUGCGUGCCGGAGCUAACGCGUUAAGCGUGCCGCCUGGGGAGUACGGUCGCAAGAUUAAAACUCAAAGAAAUUGACGGGGACCCGCACAAGCGGUGGAGUAUGUGGCUUAAUUCGAUGCAACGCGAAGAACCUUACCUGGGCUUGACAUGUAAUGAACAACAUGUGAAAGCAUGCGACUCUUCGGAGGCGUUACACAGGUGCUGCAUGGCCGUCGUCAGCUCGUGUCGUGAGAUGUUUGGUUAAGUCCAGCAACGAGCGCAACCCCUGUUGCCAGUUACCAGCACGUCAAGGUGGGGACUCUGGCGAGACUGCCCAGAUCAACUGGGAGGAAGGUGGGGACGACGUCAGGUCAGUAUGGCCCUUAUGCCCAGGGCUGCACACGUACUACAAUGCCCAGUACAGAGGGGGCCGAAGCCGCGAGGCGGAGGAAAUCCUGAAAACUGGGCCCAGUUCGGACUGUAGGCUGCAACCCGCCUACACGAAGCCGGAAUCGCUAGUAAUGGCGCAUCAGCUACGGCGCCGUGAAUACGUUCCCGGGUCUUGUACACACCGCCCGUCACAUCAUGGAAGCCGGUCGCACCCGAAGUAUCUGAAGCCAACCGCAAGGAGGCAGGGUCCUAAGGUGAGACUGGUAACUGGGAUG